AACGCACCUUGCGCUCCUUGGUAUUCCGAGGAGCAUGCCUGUUUGAGUGUCUUGAAGUCAUCAACCACACCUGUUUUGUGCGGGCCCAGGUUGGAGCUGGGGGCCGAUGCUGCCGCAAGGCUGCUCCCCCUAAAUGCGUCGGUUGGACCUGUGGGGUCGAAAGUCGACUGGGGCGUUGUACUGUCCUCGCUCUUCCCGAAAGUCGUCCCCCAAAUGCGUGUCCUCCCACGACUUGCCUGUGGAGUGGCAGUCAAGCUGAACUUUGAAAUCUGACCUCAAAUCAGGUAGGACUACCCGCUGAACUUAA
RNAcentral lists this unclassified non-coding RNA (307 nucleotides) under uncultured fungus. RNAcentral's name for it is "partial contains 5.8S ribosomal RNA, internal transcribed spacer 2, and large subunit ribosomal RNA". The stretch from base 1 to 52 matches the Rfam family "5.8S ribosomal RNA", at positions 103 to 154 of the family's 154-position model. Lineage: Eukaryota; Fungi. The record is from RNAcentral.